CGGGUGCUUGCACCUGGGGAUUAGUGGCGAACGGGUGAGUAACACGUGAGUAACCUGCCCUGGACUCUGGGAUAACCCCGAGAAAUCGGAGCUAAUACCGGAUAGGACCUUUCCUCGCAUGAGGUUUGGUGGAAAGUUUUUCGGUCUGGGAUGGACUCGCGGCCUAUCAGCUUGUUGGUGAGGUAAUGGCUCACCAAGGCGUCGACGGGUAGCCGGCCUGAGAGGGUGACCGGCCACACUGGGACUGAGACACGGCCCAGACUCCUACGGGAGGCAGCAGUGGGGAAUAUUGCACAAUGGGCGCAAGCCUGAUGCAGCAACGCCGCGUGCGGGAUGACGGCCUUCGGGUUGUAAACCGCUUUUAGUAGGGAAGAAGGGCUUCGGCUUGACGGUACCUGCAGAAAAAGGACCGGCUAACUACGUGCCAGCAGCCGCGGUAAUACGUAGGGUCCGAGCGUUGUCCGGAAUUAUUGGGCGUAAAGAGCUCGUAGGCGGUUUGUCGCGUCUGCUGUGAAAACUAGAGGCUCAACCUCUAGCCUGCAGUGGGUACGGGCAGACUUGAGUGGUGUAGGGGAGACUGGAAUUCCUGGUGUAGCGGUGGAAUGCGCAGAUAUCAGGAGGAACACCGAUGGCGAAGGCAGGUCUCUGGGCACUUACUGACGCUGAGGAGCGAAAGCGUGGGGAGCGAACAGGAUUAGAUACCCUGGUAGUCCACGCCGUAAACGUUGGGCGCUAGAUGUGGGGAC
Molecule: ribosomal RNA, 746 nt
Filed under: Agromyces sp.
Lineage: Bacteria; Bacillati; Actinomycetota; Actinomycetes; Micrococcales; Microbacteriaceae
Description: bacterial SSU rRNA
Rfam family: Bacterial small subunit ribosomal RNA
Source: RNAcentral